UUCUGGCUCAGGAUGAACGCUAGCUACAGGCUUAACACAUGCAAGUCGAGGGGCAGCAUUGGAGUAGCAAUACUCAGAUGGCGACCGGCGCACGGGUGAGUAACACGUAUCCAACCUGCCGCUUACUCGGGGAUAGCCUUUCGAAAGAAAGAUUAAUACCCGAUGGUAUAAAGAGUUCGCAUGUUCUCUUUAUUAAAGAAUUUCGGUAAGCGAUGGGGAUGCGUUCCAUUAGAUAGUUGGCGGGGUAACGGCCCACCAAGUCUACGAUGGAUAGGGGUUCUGAGAGGAAGGUCCCCCACAUUGGAACUGAGACACGGUCCAAACUCCUACGGGAGGCAGCAGUGAGGAAUAUUGGUCAAUGGACGAGAGUCUGAACCAGCCAAGUAGCGUGAAGGAUGACUGCCCUAUGGGUUGUAAACUUCUUUUAUAAGGGAAUAAAGUGAGGGACGUGUCCCUUUUUGUAUGUACCUUAUGAAUAAGGAUCGGCUAACUCCGUGCCAGCAGCAGC
This 508-nucleotide ribosomal RNA is filed under the name uncultured bacterium. RNAcentral's name for it is "bacterial SSU rRNA". It matches the Rfam family "Bacterial small subunit ribosomal RNA", at positions 17 to 518 of the family's 1533-position model. The record is from RNAcentral.